This 119-nucleotide ribosomal RNA is filed under the name Pteropus alecto (black flying fox). Lineage: Eukaryota; Metazoa; Chordata; Mammalia; Chiroptera; Pteropodidae. The record is from RNAcentral.
GUCUACAACCAUGCUAUUCUGAACAAGCCUGAUCCCGUCUGAUCUUGGAAGCUAAGCAGGGUCAGGCUUGGUUAGUACUUGGAUGGGAAACUACCUAGGGAAACCAGGCGCUGUAGGUG